UUGGGAACCACACGUAAAAAUUCCAGUGG
Molecule: non-coding RNA, 29 nt
Filed under: Mus musculus (house mouse)
Lineage: Eukaryota; Metazoa; Chordata; Mammalia; Rodentia; Muridae
Source: RNAcentral